Long non-coding RNA from Vidua chalybeata, 8217 nucleotides. RefSeq lists it as uncharacterized. The record is from RefSeq and is a predicted model, not a curated record. The transcript is spliced from 2 exons. Lineage: Eukaryota; Metazoa; Chordata; Aves; Passeriformes; Viduidae.
UGCGUGGAGUCACCCACAGCCCCGUCGGCCCGAAGGGAAGGAAAUUGGCUCUUUUCCCGGCGGUAGGGGCCAAGCCUGCCUAGUACCGAGGGCUCGGGAUUGAAGGCUGCUGCUUUGGAAACAUCAUCGGUCAGAAGGAGAGUACUUGGAAGAAGAACAAACUACUCCUCCGUUUGAACAAACAUCCUCAGUUGUGAACUGAAGUGAGCAAUUAAAUAAAUAGAAGAUAAACACUCACUGUCUGAUGCAGCUGACUGAAAAACAGCUCUUAAGCGACCUCUACCAAAGCUUUUACAAGACUAACUUCAGCAUAAUUCUGCACUGAGAGAUCACACUGGAGUGCAACAAUUGAUCUGUUCUAAGGUUAUUUUUAAAUUUUUUUUCAGUUUUCAGUUCAGCUAUCUGACUAUGUAUCUUUAAUCAAAGUACAUAAUGCUAGGUCCUCAUAGCUGUUCCUGUGACAUUCAGUACUGCCACCGCAAAGCACGUCACAGUUAUUAUGGAAAAUUAAACCCUUCAGCUGAAUAAGAUGAGCAUUCCUCUUAUCAUCCUUGGUAUCAACAGUAAAAAAUGAGAGUUCAUAACUAAUUUGAAAGAGUCGCAUCAGAAAUCUUUAAUUAUGAACCCAGAUCUCUUAACAGUUUUUGCCUCUUAACAGCAUCAUCUUGCCUUCCUAUAGACAAAAAGCCCCAUGACUCUGAAAAAUGAUUCCUCAGGUUCAAUUCUGCUCUCAGUUUGCAAUCCUGUAAAUACAGCAGGGCACAGAGAUAACUAACUGUUGGGUUAAGUCUCAUCUAUAUGGCUGAGACUGGCGUCAAGCCUGAGUGCAUCCUGCAUAACAAAUUCCUUAAUACAUGCCUUUCUUCUUUCACUGCUUUUUUGACUGUCCAAUGCUAUUAGAAGGGUGAAAAAAGAGGAGAGUGUGGUCAGGCACGCACUGCCUGCUGCAGCCCUGCUAAAUACUGAGUUGCAGUCUGCACUCAGCAUAUGAAUAAGCAAAGAAUUGUGCUUACCCAGGCUCUUAGACAUGGAGGUUUUAUUCUUUAUACGUAUUCUCUUAAUAAAAAUCACUAGCUGUGGUUUUUCAUAUUAAAAAUAACAAUCUGUAAGGAUUUAAAAAUUCCGUUUUCAUGAUUGGCCUCAGAAAUACCUUCUGGCUAAUGUUGACUCGAAACAAAUAACCCCUGGAAUAAGAAUUAUUUCCUCGUAUUAACAUAUGUCCAAGUACCCAUGUAUUUUUUAUAAGAAGAAUUAAGAAGCAGCACAGUUUUAUGCAAAAAUACAUCUGCAUGUUGAAAUACAAUUAGGUAUUCUUAUUUUACCCUCCCUAGAGGCACUUUUGCUGACUUCUUUUCAGUUUGCAGAACAUUUUCUCUCUUGUAAACACUCUUAUGUUCCACAAAAGAUGCCAGUUCUAUGAGAAAAAGAACUGCAAAGGAAGUUAGUGAAACAGUAUUAUCCAUUCUGUACUGUGUUAGAUUGUGCCAGGUUUGGCUGCAAAAUAAUUAGUCUUUCUGGUUUUUGUUUGUUUGGGAUUUUUUAAAGAUGUCAAGUGCUGUAAGACUUCUUAGCUGUUGAAAUAUGAUGCAAGGAUCACUGGUGAGCCAAUUCUUCAAGACCAAGUUAAUGAAAGAGCACAAGAUUUAUUUCUCUUUUCAGUUCCUUGAUUAUUAAAAAGAGGAAAAAAAAAAAAAGGAAUUCCAGUAUGUAGGGGUUUAAGCAUUAUAGUAAAUUUGCAAGCAGACAGCUGUUGGCUGCUGUGAUCAUUAAUGUUCCCAUGAAGUAAGUUAUGUAUUUAUACACAUUUAGGGAAGUAAGACUGAUGUCAAAUUCUAUUGAGAGAUAUUUGUUUAAUAAAUUAACUGCAGUGAAAAUGGGCAUUUCUUGCUCUACGGCACACUCCUGGAUACACUGAUCCAUUGAUAGUUCCCCAGACCUUUGGCUGCUGAUGCGGGUGAUUGCCUCUGCCCCAUUUCUGGAACCUCUCCUAUCAUCUACUGACACAUCAUUCCUUACUUCUCUGUCUUUUCCACUUCCCUUACUUCAGUUCUUAUUGAUUUUUGAGACAUCAAGGAAAAAGCCUUUUGAUCAGUUCUGUCCUUGUAAAACAACCUCUCUCAGGUGCUCACUUGCCACAGUGCAGAACUUGGUCUUUGUCUCUACAAAUCCAUUUCCCACAUCACUGCUGAACUGAACUGAGCCGCAACCCUUCAGUGCCCUCAAGGCAUCCAGAGAGUUCAGCAACGACUCCAGAAGGAAGGCUGGGAAGAGCGUGAUUCCCAACAGGGUCAGAUAUGCCCCAGGUCUUCCCACAGCUUUCUCCACUACUCCUCACUCCUAAAUUGAGAAACUCUAGUUUCCAGGGUGAGCAAAUGACAGAGGACAGGAGGGAGAGUUGAAUGAUCCUGUGCUAGCAGAUCUUUCUGUGUCUACAAGAUGUUAUCAAGGCAGCAUGAAAACUGCAGGGAUCCCAUGUCUUGUGAGCUUAGGAGUAGACUGAAGGCAGAAGGAUUUCAUCCCCGUCAUUCAUGUGCUUGUGUCUUUGCUGAAACGGGAACUGAUGUGCUCCCUAGGGAGAUUAAUUUAUCCAGAAUGUAAUUUCCUACUAGAAUACUGUUUCACUGAAAUAUUUUGAUGAAAACAAAACCUAUGUUGCAGAAAUUUUCUGGAGCACAGAACACAUGUACCUAUUGCAGUCAUCAGUAGCUUGCAGCAAAAGGUUUUGAGGUUACCUCCUAGUCACAGUCUACAAAAAGACCAUUUAUCUUGACAUGUGCCCCCACUUUUUUUGACCAAAGUGGUAUUUUGUUAACAGAAAUACAGCUUCAAAUAACAUACUUUGGCAAAAAAAAUAGUGGGACUAUUCAAUAUCUUUGCUUACAUGUAUAUAUAAGAAAUGAGGAAAUGAACUUCUAACUUUCUGAUUCCAAAAUGUGGAUCCUUAUGUAAGAUCCAGGAAUAGGAACCUGUCUGUGUAGGAGAGCAGUUUAGGAUAUUUUUGGAAAAAGGGGCAAAUCUGUUCUCAUUUCUAUUAAUCAUCAUCAUCACAAAAAAGUACACUUUUCAGAACAGUUUUACAAGGUGGUUGAGCAUUUAUAAAGGUGAAAAAUUUUUAGGAAGCUUCUCAAAAGAGGCAUUAAUAUUCUAUCUAAAAAUUAAUAAUCUCUCUAAAGUAUUUUUAAUCCUAGAUUGAAAAAAAAAUUCUUUUGAAUAUACUGUUGUAAGAGUUUUCAAACAGCUCUACUUGCUAAGAAUUCCACAGCAAAGGCUGCACAAGACUUAUAUUUCUAGAUGGAGCUUUAAAUCAUAGAUCUGUGAUGAGAAGUGGAUCUCAACAAACUAAUGUGAAGAGGGUAAUACACUGACUUCAGACACAAGAUUUUGAUGAGAAUUUAACCUAGCAAUUUCCUAGCUAAACCAUUACUCUGUUGGCAGCAGAUGCAGUUUGCUGUACACAGUGAUGUUUUAUAUAACAUUAAUUUGAACUCACAUUAUAUGUCUGUUACUUAAAAUCUUUUUACAGUGAAGGUCAGUAAACAAAGAUGGUCUUUAUCUGAAGCCAACUGAAACACGGUAUAAUCUCUCCUUUGACACCAUCAGGCAUUGCUUUUGAUCAUAGUGUACAUAAAAAUCUUCAGUCUGAAUACCUAAGCAGUGGCAGCAAUUAGAAUACCUAACUCUCCCAUCUAACAGCAACAUCAAAAAAUAUGUGUUUUGUAAGUUGCAUUAUAGAAAAUAAAUUAUAUUUUUGAUUUCAUUUCCCUAAAAAAAAAAAAAAAAAAAAAAAAAAAAAAGAAAAAGUAGGUUUACAUAGGAAAUUACUUCUAUUUAGCCCUUAUAUUACCUGGGCAUGCUUUAUAUAGGCUAGGCACAGAUUCAGAUCUGAGCAUACCUGCAUCUCAGUAGCUUGGUAUAGGUGUGCAAAGUCACGUUAUGUGAGUGCCUGGUGGCCAAGCCAGCUCCACCCUGGUCCCAUGUCCCAGCCUGCCCUUUGUUGUCCCAGGGAAGUGUCUGAUAUCCUGGGCUGAUCUGGCUGCCAUGGCUGGGUGGUCCUGGCUGCCAGGCCCUGCUCUGACUUCCCAGGCAGCCCCUGCAACUUCUGGCUCCCCAGCCCCUCGAGAUUGUCAUUGUAAAACUGAUACAGCAAACCAUGGACUGGGAUCUGACCUGAGCUGCAGAGAUUCAGGUGAUGAGAAAUUAUAAGUUAAAUUGUAUUAUAAAUUCCCUACCGUCCUAGUUACAGAUUGUACUAUGUUGACUCUGCUUGUAGAAAUCCUGUGCCAUUCUAAUAAUAAAUUCUCUUCUGUAUCAAUCAUAACAUCCUGUUAAGAAAACAAAGUUUGAAUUGUACCUAUGGUUUAGUGCUAUCCUCACUCUGCCAAUAUCCCCAAGAGAACCCAUCUGUGCUGGGUGACAGUGUCACUCGGAUAACACUGACAUGUCUAUUAACCGAGAACCUCAUGGAGCAACAGGGAACUUUUUAGCAAGUGUGUGAAAAGGGCUGGAUGUAGUAUUUAGGAAAUUGAAAGAGAUGGUAUUCUGGACAGUUGGGCUCUGGAUGCUGAGAAAGUUCUGCAUUGCACACCCUGGCUACCUUGCUCAAAGGAAUAUUACUAAAUGAAAACUUCUGCUUGCAAAUUAACUUACUGUUUUGUUAGUGGGUUUUGAAAGAGGUUAAUUGAAAAUGCUAGGGCUGAAUGUUAUCUAGAAGGAAGUUCUUCCAUUUUUUUGGUCAGUUGAUUUUGGUCAUUUGGCAUCUUUUUAUGCAGUGACUUAAGCAGUUUUCUACUGCAAAACCACUUCUAGGUAAAUUUGGAGAGGUUUACAGUGCUUUUCUUUUUCUAUUGUUCAACAUCUGAUUUGAGGUAGACUUGGCUUUCAGAGAUCACAAGAACUUAGGUGUCCUGUUGAUUUGGUGAAAACUCCGAAAAGUCCAGCAUCUCUGGAAAUCAGGUGUCUCCUGCUCAUCUUUCAGAGACGUCUGAUUUUGGGUAUAUAAAUGUUGGAGAUUAAGUGCAGCUAGUAGUGCUACAGCAUUGUUAUUAACGUUGGCAUUGACUGUCUUGUAUAUGCUUAUUUGAAUUUAGAAAUCAGGGCAUUAUGGAAAAUGUAUAUUGUGCAUUAUAAAUUAUAUUGAAAAACGAAAGAUUUAUUUAACUUACAUAAGAAGAGAAAUACCCAACGGAUUGACAGUUAAAACCCCCAGUCUUAAACAGAAAACAUACAAACUUUUUUAAAAUUUCUUUUGAGAAAUAUCAAAUCUAUUUUGCUACUCACAGCAGUACAGAACUCUCACUCCUUGCCCUCCUCACAACUCUCCAGGCACCACAUACCCCUCACACCAGGGAUGCUUCAGGCAGAAUUGUACUUUCUGCUGCACAGCAUAGUUUGUCAUUUAAAUGUGGGGGUUUUGCCAUCUGCAAUUCACAUUCUUUGCUUUGUUAUCAGGGAAAGUCAGAAACCACUGCACCAGGUUUUCUUGGGACUGGUACAAAUGCAAAAAAAAAGUUAACUACAGCUGAUGCCCAGAAGGAAAAGAUAGCAGGAAAAAUUCAAUUCAACCAAACCAAAAAUUGUUCACAAUGAGCAGGGAGGAGAUAAGGAAUGGGUGAAUUUCUGAUCCAGAAAGAAAGCUAGUGUGUGAAGCAUGCAUCUAAGAUGAGAACAAAAGAUAAAGUGUUAUCUAGAUUAGACGAGAAGUGGGAGAUUAGUUUAAAAAUUGUGAGAACUGGCCAACUGUGAGGCUUAGUUUAAAAAUUGUGAGAACUGGCCAACUGUGAGGCUUAGCAGAUAGCAUCUGAAAGGAUAGGUGCAAUAUUUUCUGCUUUAAAUGCCUUGGAAGAGUAUGGAAGUGUGUUGGCUCCAUACUACAGUGCCCUGGUCAUCCAGCAAGAACUAAUGUGAGCGAUGUAAUUUGGAAAUCUGCAGAGACUGAGACCAUAUGAGACCAGUGAGUGUAUGCAUGCUUAACUUGCAAGCAGUUUUAGUUAAUAAAAUGCCAGAGGAACUCUUUACCUUGUAAUGACUUACGUAAUCAAGGUACAAUAAAUAUUAACAAUUAGAACUGUUGCCAUCAGUUAAUGUACUUUAAAGGCACGGUGCAACAAGUGUGAUAACUUUGCUGGAUUUAUAUAUUCAUUAAUCCCUGACAGCAACAAGGAAGAUCAAGAUGUUUUGUGGCAUGAACUGGAUAUCUUCAAAGACUUCAUUAAUAGGAAAGGAAUAAUACCUGAUGCUAGGAGGGAAACGUAUGUCCUUAAUAACAAGGUCUUUUUUUUUCAAACACAGAAAUAGGUUAGGAAAAAACUUAGUUCACCCAAAUUAAUCGUGUGACAUGAUGGAGUAAGAAACAUAAUGUGUUAUGUAAACUGAAAUGCUGUUGUAGACUGUUUCAGAAUAGCUGUUUCCAGUUAGAGAGAAAACAGAUUGGUGCUGGUGCUGUAUCACUUCUUUUCACAGGGGACAUGAGGCCAUAAUGAGCCAAGCAAGAUCCUGCACAGCAUGGCAGCAAAGACAUUUCCUCACCGUGGCCUUGGCACUCCAGGGCAGCCCAAAAAGGGCCGAGGAGUCCUGUGUGUAACCAGGAGGGAUGACUGACAUCACUGUGGGUCCCAGCAUUCCCCAGUCCCUUGCUGGCCAUUCAGUGCACACUGGGGACGCUGGGCAUGUGUGGAACAUGGGGAUGGGGUGCACACAAUUAAAGGGGGGCCCCAAAGUGGAAGGAGUGGAAGCCAAAGUCGCUGGGUGGAGACCCCCAAAAGGGAGGUGCGAUAUCUCAAAAUGGAGGGAGGAACCCACAAAAUUGGGGCAACACCCCAAAAAACCACAUGAAGCUGUUCUCUCCCUCCAUUGUUUACCAACAAGAACUAUCUACCAACUCUAAUUUCAGCAAAUAAUUUCAAGUGUUUUAGCUGAAAGUCAUUCUGAGCAAACUUUGUAGAAGUGAUCACAGAAUCACAGAGUGUUCUGUGUUGGAAGGGAUCCACCGAGUCCAGUUCUGAAGGGAAUGGCUUGCUGGCAGGGUCAGCACCAAAGACACCCACACCAACUUAAGGAAGAAGUGUCAUUUCCUGUAGGGCAAAGCAGCAAAGAAGUACAGAAGGAUAAGCUAAGCAAUGCACCCAAUUAUUGCUACAAAAGAUUGCCUGUAGGGAUGAAGAAAGACACAUCACCAGUUACCCUAAUACUUGACCAUUGUCCUGACACACACGUCAGCUGGGGAUGCCCUGUCACACCAAGGGAUUGGAGAAGCACUCCCAGUAACGGGGAAUUCCUAUGUGGUUCGCCCACCCUCAGGCCAGGCUGCCAACUUUGCUGUGAGAGGGCCCAGAUUUUAUACUGUUGAAUAAACAAGCUACCAUAACUUCUAGUGCGGGCACAUCUGGUUUCAUCCUCCUCUUGGGCAGGGCUCAGGGAGGAACCAAGGGAGUUUGCUUUGACCCUCUACCUUCAAACACAGCCAGAUAGAGAUGUGAUAAAUGAAGAUGAUUUGUGCUAAUAAUUGUAACUAUAUUGAUAUUUUGGAAAAUAUUUGUUAAAAAGUAAUAAAGGAAAGCAAUAUGUAAUUAGCAUCACAAAAAAGAUUUUUGAGAUGUUCAUAAGAUCCAGGAUGGAGUAUUGAGAUAUUUUAGCACAAACAGCCUUGGGAAGGACAAUGUUGGGAAAACCUCCAAGAGUGGAAUCGACAUUGAGACAAAUAAAAGUCCAGGCAACUUCUUCUGAGGCAAGAACAGCCUUGAAGACAAGUAAGUUGAUAUAAUUCCAGAUAGAGAACCCAAAACAGGAACAUAAUGCUUACUUAUAUAACACCAAGCUCCAUGUGCAUGCGCAACCUGCCAGGUUAUUCAGAGGACAGCCAGGAAGACCAUUGGCCUUCAUCCAAGAAGACCCCUGAAGAGUCCAGAAGACCCCCCAGACACAACGGGAACAUGCGCUGUGUAAUAUGGUGACGUAGACUUCAAGAAUCAAAACUGGGAGGAGAUUUACAGGAACUAUUGAUGAAUAUGUAUUAGCAUACAGUAUAAAAGUUGUGCUUGGAUUCUUUUGCCUUUUGUACGUGCGGCAGGGUGAGAGGUCCUCCCCGUCCCCCGCUUGGUUUUGCUUAUGCUUUAUCAGAACCACUGCCAAAUUUCUAUUUGUAACUACUUCAUUAUAUUUGAUUUUAUUAUUAUUUUAUAUUUUUUUAUACCUCAAUUAAAAUUGCUGCUAAAGUUUAAA